Long non-coding RNA from Solanum pennellii, 367 nucleotides. RefSeq lists it as uncharacterized. Lineage: Eukaryota; Viridiplantae; Streptophyta; Magnoliopsida; Solanales; Solanaceae. The record is from RefSeq and is a predicted model, not a curated record. The transcript has 2 exons.
GUUCCGAGCUCGCGAAUCAAAACCUCUCAAAGAACCGGUGCCAACAAGUGGAAAUUGACCAGAUCUCGCACCGCCAAGCUCCGAUGGACAACUCGAAGCAACACCAGAAACUCCAGCCAACACAAAACCAAUGUACACACAGUUGCUUCCAAUUGAAGCUAUUGGAAUUAAGUUCGAAUUAUACUCUUUAUUCAUUAUUUUGUAUAUAUUGACAUUAGAUAGCUUUAGGUCGUUUUUUAUAAUAUCUUAUUUAUUACUUUUGUAUAUUACAUGUUUAUUAUACUCGUACAUUAUUUUAUUUUGUUCAUCAAUUUGAAAAAAAUGAAUUCAGACGGGAUCCAUAUUUGUGGAUUCUAAGGAUGUCGAA